GACGAACGCUGGCGGCGUGCCUAAUACAUGCAAGUAGAACGCUGAAGGAGGAGCUUGCUUCUCUGGAUGAGUUGCGAACGGGUGAGUAACGCGUAGGUAACCUGCCUGGUAGCGGGGGAUAACUAUUGGAAACGAUAGUUAAUACCGCAUAAUAGUAGAUGUUGCAUGACAUUUGCUUAAAAGGUGCAAUUGCAUCACUACCAGAUGGACCUGCGUUGUAUUAGCUAGUUGGUGAGGUAACGGCUCACCAAGGCAACGAUACAUAGCCGACCUGAGAGGGUGAUCGGCCACACUGGGACUGAGACACGGCCCAGACUCCUACGGGAGGCAGCAGUAGGGAAUCUUCGGCAAUGGACGGAAGUCUGACCGAGCAACGCCGCGUGAGUGAAGAAGGUUUUCGGAUCGUAAAGCUCUGUUGUAAGAGAAGAACGAGUGUGAGAGUGGAAAGUUCACACUGUGACGGUAUCUUACCAGAAAGGGACGGCUAACUACGUG
RNAcentral lists this ribosomal RNA (495 nucleotides) under uncultured bacterium. RNAcentral's name for it is "partial 16S ribosomal RNA". It matches the Rfam family "Bacterial small subunit ribosomal RNA", at positions 28 to 507 of the family's 1533-position model. The record is from RNAcentral.